Molecule: RNA transcript, 2144 nt
Organism: Rhododendron vialii
Lineage: Eukaryota; Viridiplantae; Streptophyta; Magnoliopsida; Ericales; Ericaceae
Exons: 2
Source: RefSeq, a predicted model, not a curated record
CACAAGAUUCAAAACAGAACAAAGUUAAUAUAUGUUUAUCACCUCUCAUAAGUAAACGAUGUACCGUUUGGCUGAUAUUUAUUUUUGACAAUUAUAUGUCCAUAUCCUGAUUGUGGGAUGAGAGGUAACCAAACAGGUAUCAAUUAUUCAGAAAAUUAACCAAAAUUUGGACAUCGAGAGAGCGAUGUAAUACUUUUUGUUGUAAUCCAAGUUUUGUCUGUCUUGGAAGGUAAGCCAUAAUCCUUAUUAAAACAUAUCCAAGACUCACCAACAAACUAUUGUUUCCAGUGAUUAUAUAAGACCUAUUGUGCAUGUCAUUAGUUAAUGUAUCAAUUGGCUAACCACCCUGCUAGUUUUGAUCGAACAUCUCUGGAUAAAUCUGUGUUUAUACGCUCCCGGAAACUAACUUGGCCAAUCCAAAAAAAAGUAGAAUGCUAAAACUCCCAAAUAAUAGGUUAGUUCAAGCCACGGAGGGUUAUGUUAGGAGGAUGGCUUUCCUCACGUCUUGUUGGUUUAUCCUUGAAUCUAUCCUCUUCCCAGAUGGAUUUCUGAAGUUGUUUUAUCUCAGCUUCUACAUCCACCCGCUAUUGCUCUUUCUCUUUCAGAUUUCCCUUUGGAUAAAACUACUACAAAGAUGGCUUCCCCUCCUUGUCUUACUACAAAGAUGGCUUCCCCUCCUUGUCUCACUAGCGAUUUUGUAGCGUCUAAAAUUUGCAGGGUGUUUCCUAGUAUCCUCUCUGUUUUCCCAUUCAUUAGAAUCGCCAAUGAUGAGUUUGCAAAUGAGGCGGAGGAGCACGAAAUUCCAAGUGCUACUAUUAAAAAUCAGAUGGCAGAUUCGUAUUCCUCUUGCUAUGCAGUAUCCAAUAAAAAUGAAGCUGAAGUAUAUGCACUACACACGGAAGAGGUUGAAGCAGACACUGAUUGCAGUGACAGCUCACUACUAGUGGAGUCGAUUAUAAGAGAACCCCGUCUGCUUAUCGAUGAAGACAGAAGCUUGGAGGUGUAUAUGCCUUCUGAGAGCAGCUCCAUUUCACCUCCCCAAGAUGAUGAAAUUAAUGGAACUUUGACAUCAUUGUGUAGCUCUAAUGCACCACCAAUCGUUGAGGGAGAGUUGAUCAAUCAAACCAUGGAGGCCGACGUAGAUUCAAUCUAUCAGAAAUACACUGAAAGUAUGAGAUGGUUUGAUUUGCGUAAUCAUGAUAGAACAUGUGGAAUAAGUAGAUACUCAUAAUCAUAAACUGAUUUACAAACAGAACGUUAAUAUUUGAGAAUACAUUUACAACGAUAUGAAAAAUUAGUUGCAGAAGCAGGAGGCAUAUGAGGUGAAUUCAGAGCAUGCUAUUAUCUUCUUGUUUCGUUAGUGGCAUAUUGACUGGCUAUUUUGUAUGCAGGUGCAAUCUUGAACAAGCAAUUGGCUUCUCUUAGUUCAUUUGAGGAUAUAAAAAGCCUGUGGAAUUCUCCAUUCCACAGAUUUCAUGGAGCAAGAUGGCUAGAAGAAGGCUAAUAAGAAGCUUAGAAAGUGACUGCGAAUUGGUUUAUGUGGCUCAAUCAUGCUUAUCCUGGGAAGUACUCCAUUACCAGUACCGAAAAGUUGAGGCUCUCUUACGUUCAAACUCUAAAAAUGGCGAUUUUUACAAUAAUGUCGUCUGGAGAUUUCAAAAGUUUCAAAUACUUCUAGAGAGAUUUACGGAAGAUGAAAGGUGCGAGGGCAAAAGGUACUGGAAUUAUGUUCAAAGAAGGUUAACUUUCAGGAGUCUACUCCAAGUUCCUCAGGUUUCAGGUUAUACGGAGGAAAGAGAAGAUAAUGAAACUAAGGGAGAAGCCAUGAGGGUAACAGAGGUGUUGCAGGGCAUAGAGAAAUGCAUAAAGGCCUUUUGGAUGUACAUAAAAACAGACCAAAAGAAACCGUGGUGGAAAAUGAGUAAAUUCAUGUGGACUUAUCCUCCGGUAGAAGACCCUUGAGACCUGGAGCUCCUAGCAAAUCUUACUAAGACGCUCCGAAAGGUAAUUCCAGUUACGUAUCUGCAUAGCAAAGAUCACAUUCAAAUAUCAGUUGCUGAAAUUUGGAGAACUCUGAAUUUUAUGCAUUUUUAGUUUCAUCAUAAACUUUUCAUCGUGAUUUAGGAUUUGAUCAACAUAAUAUA